GACGAACGCUGGCGGCGUGCCUAAUACAUGCAAGUUGAGCGCUGAAGGUUGGUACUUGUACCAACUGGAUGAGCAGCGAACGGGUGAGUAACGCGUGGGGAAUCUGCCUUUGAGCGGGGGACAACAUUUGGAAACGAAUGCUAAUACCGCAUAAAAACUUUAAACACAAGUUUUAAGUUUGAAAGAUGCAAUUGCAUCACUCAAAGAUGAUCCCGCGUUGUAUUAGCUAGUUGGUGAGGUAAAGGCUCACCAAGGCGAUGAUACAUAGCCGACCUGAGAGGGUGAUCGGCCACAUUGGGACGGAGACACGGCCCAAAAUCCUACGGGAGGCAGCAGUAGGGAAUCUUCGGCAAUGGACGAAAGUCUGACCGAGCAACGCCGCGUGAGUGAAGAAGGUUUUCGGAUCGUAAAACUCUGUUGGUAGAGAAGAACGUUGGUGAGAGUGGAAAGCUCAUCAAGUGACGGUAACUACCCAGAAAGGGACGGCUAACUACGUG
This 497-nucleotide ribosomal RNA is filed under the name uncultured bacterium. RNAcentral's name for it is "partial 16S ribosomal RNA". It matches the Rfam family "Bacterial small subunit ribosomal RNA", at positions 28 to 507 of the family's 1533-position model. The record is from RNAcentral.